CAGUCGCCGCGGUAAAACGGAGGGUGCAAGCGUUAAUCGGAAUUACUGGGCGUAAAGCGCACGCAGGCGGUCUGUCAAGUCAGAUGUGAAAUCCCCGGGCUUAACCUGGGAACUGCAUUUGAAACUGGCAGGCUAGAGUCUUGUAGAGGGGGGUAGAAUUCCAGGUGUAGCGGUGAAAUGCGUAGAGAUCUGGAGGAAUACCGGUGGCGAAGGCGGCCCCCUGGACAAAGACUGACGCUCAGGUGCGAAAGCGUGGGGAGCAAACAGGAUUAGAUACCCCGGUAGUCCCUGUCUCUUAUAC
This 301-nucleotide ribosomal RNA is filed under the name uncultured bacterium. Its description in RNAcentral is "partial 16S ribosomal RNA". It matches the Rfam family "Bacterial small subunit ribosomal RNA", at positions 509 to 807 of the family's 1533-position model. The record is from RNAcentral.